GACGAACGCUGGCGGCGUGCUUAACACAUGCAAGUCGAACGGAAAGGCCCUGCUUGCAGGGUGCUCGAGUGGCGAACGGGUGAGUAACACGUGGGUGAUCUGCCCCUUACUUUGGGAUAAGCCUGGGAAACUGGGUCUAAUACUGGAUAGGACCAUGCUGUAGGUGGUGUGGUGGAAAGAUUAGUUUCGGUAAGGGAUGAGCGCGCGGCCUAUCAGCUUGUUGGUGGGGUAAUGGCCUACCAAGGCGUCGACGAGUAGCCGGCCUGAGAGGGUGGACGGCCACAUUGGGACUGAGAGACGGCCCAGACGCCUACGGGAGGCAGCAGAGGGGAAGAGGGCAAAAUGGGCGCAAGCCUGAUGCAGCGACGCCGCGAGGGGGAUGACGGCCUGCGGGUUGUAAGCUCCUUUCAGCCAUGACGAAGCCCUUGUGGUGACGGUAGUGGUAGAAGAAGCACCGGCUAACUACGUG
Molecule: ribosomal RNA, 469 nt
Filed under: uncultured bacterium
Lineage: Bacteria
Description: partial 16S ribosomal RNA
Rfam family: Bacterial small subunit ribosomal RNA
Source: RNAcentral